GGCCGCUACCACGCGAGUGGAUGCCAAUCCCUAAAACCCCUCUCAGUUCGGACUGGAGUCUGCAACCCGACUCCACGAAGCUGGAUUCGCUAGUAAUCGCGCAUCAGCCACGGCGCGGUGAAUACGUUCCCGGGCCUUGUACACACCGCCCGUCAAGCCAUGGGAGCCGGGGGUACCUGAAGUGCGUAACCGCGAGGAUCGCCCUAGGGUAAAACUGGUGACUGGGGCUAAGUCGUAACAAGGUAGC
RNAcentral lists this ribosomal RNA (247 nucleotides) under uncultured bacterium. RNAcentral's name for it is "partial 16S ribosomal RNA". It matches the Rfam family "Bacterial small subunit ribosomal RNA", at positions 1245 to 1500 of the family's 1533-position model. The record is from RNAcentral.